GAUGAAGAACGCAGCGAAUUGCGAUAAGUAAUGUGAAUUGCAGAUUUUCAGUGAAUCAUCGAAUCUUUGAACGCACCUUGCGCUCCUUGGUAUUCCGAGGAGCAUGCCUGUUUGAGUGUCAUUAAAUUCUCAACCUCAUCAGUUUUGUUAUGAAGCUGUGUGAGGCUUGGAUGUGGGGGUUUGUGCAGGCUGCCUCAGUGCGGUCUGCUCCCCUGAAAUGUAUUAGCGAGUUCCAACUGGGCUCCGUCUAUUGGUGUGAUAAUUAUCUACGCCGUGGAUUGGGCUUAGACUUGCUUCUAACCGUCCGCAAGGACAAUCUUUUGACAAUUUGACCUCAAAUCAGGUAGGACUACCCGCUGAACUUAAGCAUAUCAAUAAGCGGAGGA
RNAcentral lists this unclassified non-coding RNA (386 nucleotides) under soil metagenome. Its description in RNAcentral is "partial contains 5.8S ribosomal RNA, internal transcribed spacer 2, and large subunit ribosomal RNA". The stretch from base 1 to 121 matches the Rfam family "5.8S ribosomal RNA", at positions 35 to 154 of the family's 154-position model. The record is from RNAcentral.